GUGACGACGCAGUAAGGUUACUGGUAACUUCCGUUAUGAAGCACUAGGCUCCAGCUGAUGUGGGGGGCGGCUCUGCAGGACCCUGUGAGGGCAGAUUUCCCUGAGGUGUGAUGGCUCUGGAGGGACUACAACCGAGUGCGAUACAGUCACCUUGGCCUCUUCCAGCACAGCUGCAGAGGAAUGUGCUCAACCCCGAAUACAGCACUGGCAGGUUUUGCCAUAGGGUGCGCACACUCAGUAACUGGAGAGACGCCACAGGGAAGCCCUCUAGGACCACCAGAGAAGGCAUUUUCACGCUUAAGUUCUUAACAAUACACGGCAACCCUAAAGAGCUUGGAAACUAUUCAAAAUGUGGUCUCUCUGAGUGAAAUAGCAACCGAGGACACCCGGCGACUGAGAUUUCCUGCAGGUAGCACUUCCAAAGUGGCCUCCAUCAUAUUCUUCCAGUCUGUACG
Tupaia belangeri chinensis (Chinese tree shrew) is the source of this 455-nucleotide long non-coding RNA. RefSeq lists it as uncharacterized. The record is from RefSeq and is a predicted model, not a curated record. NCBI's taxonomy places the organism in Eukaryota, Metazoa, Chordata, Mammalia, Scandentia, Tupaiidae. The transcript is spliced from 3 exons.